This 46-nucleotide unclassified non-coding RNA is filed under the name Trypanosoma brucei. RNAcentral's name for it is "gND9[155]". Lineage: Eukaryota; Euglenozoa; Kinetoplastea; Trypanosomatida; Trypanosomatidae. The record is from RNAcentral.
AUAUAAAAACAAAAGUCACGAAUUAGAAAGUAAAGAUAUGUGAUAA